RNAcentral lists this ribosomal RNA (586 nucleotides) under uncultured bacterium. Its description in RNAcentral is "partial 16S ribosomal RNA". It matches the Rfam family "Bacterial small subunit ribosomal RNA", at positions 355 to 1375 of the family's 1533-position model. The record is from RNAcentral.
UGGGGAAUUUUGGACAAUGGGCGAAAGCCUGAUCCAGCAAUGCCGCGUGUGUGAAGAAGGCCUUCGGGUUGUAAAGCACUUUUGUCCGGAAAGAAAUCCUUGGCUCUAAUACAGUCGGGGGAUGACGGUACCGGAAGAAUAAGCACCGGCUAACUACGUGCCAGCAGCCGCGGUAAUACGUAGGGUGCAAGCGUUAAUCGGAAUUACUGGGCGUAAAGCGUGCGCAGGCGGUUUGCUAAGACUGAUGUGAAAUCCCCGGGCUCAACCUGGGAACUGCAUUGGUGACUGGCAGGCUAGAGUAUGGCAGAGGGGGGUAGAAUUCCACGUGUAGCAGUGAAAUGCGUAGAGAUGUGGAGGAAUACCGAUGGCGAAGGCAGCCCCCUGGGCCAAUACUGACGCUCAUGCACGAAAGCGUGGGGAGCAAACAGGAUUAGAUACCCUGGUAGUCCACGCCCUAAACGAUGUCAACUAGUUGUUGGGGAUUCAUUUCCUUAGUAACGUAGCUAACGCGUGAAGUUGACCGCCUGGGGGAGUACGGUCGCAAGAUUAAAACUCAAAUGAAUUGACGGGGUCAUAGCUGUUUCCU